GGAUGUGAGGGAGAGUUGGCUGUGACAUCUGUCACCCUAUAGACCAUCAGGGUAGAGCUGCCUGACCUACCUGGCUAGGUGGUGUCAUCUUCCUCCCUCCCCGCUUGAUGCAUGUGCCCCUUCAGAAACUGGACACUCUGUGGAACAGGAUCCACUCCCAACCCUCACCCACCAUACAGGCUCAUUUCUUCCCCUGAUAGAACCCCAAGCUCUCAAGAUUGUCCUCUAGGAAUGGCCCUACAGUGUAGCCCACAAGUUCCUUUUUUAAUUUUUAAUCAGUUCAAAAUAUUUUCUAAUUUUUAUU
This 304-nucleotide small RNA is filed under the name Octodon degus (degu). RNAcentral's name for it is "7SK RNA (ENSODEG00000022478.1)". The stretch from base 1 to 195 matches the Rfam family "7SK RNA". From Rfam's summary of the family: 7SK was discovered as an abundant small nuclear RNA in the mid-70s but a possible function has only recently been suggested. The record is from RNAcentral. Lineage: Eukaryota; Metazoa; Chordata; Mammalia; Rodentia; Octodontidae.